GUUUUUUCGCAAGUCAUCCCGAUUUCACUUCAGCUGAGAUUAGAGGCGUCAAAGCUGCAAGGUCCGAAAGAUAUUCUUAUGGCGAUUCAGCUAUUGGAUAUGUUCAAGUAAAUAGGGAAGCAAACAUAUGUGUAGUGAAAGAUCGUAUUACUCCCGAACAUAAUGUGGAUGUAAGCAUGCAAUAGCUUUUAUAGCUUGGCUGCACAGGUGUAGCGAAGACCCUCCCUCUACUAGUAUCGACUGUUACUGGAAGAAGUCCAAAUUAUCCACGAUAGGCACAACCCUAAAGUAUAUAAGAGCUGAAGAGUUAUGUAGUAGUUCAAAGGCCAAACCUGCUCCAUCUGCCAAUACUCGAAGCCUUCUGCCAACUCUAAUAAACCAUAGCAAAAGCAUCGGUCACAUGGAAAGUCAACUCAUGAAAUACUAUAAGGAAAA
Molecule: long non-coding RNA, 435 nt
Organism: Leptinotarsa decemlineata (Colorado potato beetle)
Lineage: Eukaryota; Metazoa; Arthropoda; Insecta; Coleoptera; Chrysomelidae
Source: RefSeq, a predicted model, not a curated record